This 688-nucleotide ribosomal RNA is filed under the name uncultured bacterium. RNAcentral's name for it is "bacterial SSU rRNA". It matches the Rfam family "Bacterial small subunit ribosomal RNA", at positions 126 to 812 of the family's 1533-position model. The record is from RNAcentral.
CUGCCCCUGUCAGGGGGACAACCCGCCGAAAGGCGGGCUAAACCCGCGUACAUGCCACCGGGGCAUCCCGGAGGCAGGAAAGGCUUCGGCCGGACAGGGAUGGGCAUGCGGCGCAUUAGGCAGUAGGCGGGGUAACGGCCCACCUAACCGACGAUGCGUAGGGGUUCUGAGAGGAAGGUCCCCCACACUGGUACUGAGACACGGACCAGACUCCUACGGGAGGCAGCAGUGAGAAAUAUUGGUCAAUGGUCGGGAGACUGAACCAGCCAAGCCGCGUGAGGGAUGAAGGUACAGAGUAUCGUAAACCUCUUUUGUCAGGGAACAAAGACUGGGACGCGUCCCCGGAUGAGUGUACCUGAAGAAAAAGCAUCGGCUAACUCCGUGCCAGCAGCCGCGGUAAUACGGAGGAUGCGAGCGUUAUCCGGAUUUAUUGGGUUUAAAGGGUGCGCAGGCGGUCUGUUAAGUCAGCGGUCAAAGCCCGGGGCUCAACCCCGGCCCGCCGUUGAAACUGGCAGUCUCGAGUUGGAGAGAAGUAUGCGGAAUGCGCGGUGUAGCGGUGAAAUGCAUAGAUAUCGCGCAGAACUCCGAUUGCGAAGGCAGCAUGCCGGCUCCACACUGACGCUGAGGCACGAAAGCGUGGGCAUCGAACAGGAUUAGAUACCCUGGUAGUCCACGCAGUAAACGAUGA